UCCGCCAUGCGGCACGCAAUGGAGCAGCUGAUGUGAGGCAGAGUCUUGUGUUCCGUGUUCUGCGCUGUGACCCGCGGUCGGGAGCUGUGGGGAGAGCGGGGCGAGCUCGCAACCCGCCAUGGAUGCAGUGACCUAUGAGGAUGUACAUGUGAACUUCACUCAUGAAGAGUGGACUUUGCUGGAUCCUUCCCAGAAGAGUCUCUACAAAGAUGUGAUGCUGGAAACCUACUGGAACCUCACUGCUGUAGGUAUCUUCAAACACACAAACGAACCCAUAAUGAAGAAGAUCUCUGUAAAUAUAAUCAGCGUGAUAAAGACUUUAGAUCUGAUUCCUCUUUACAGUUACACCAGAGAACUCAUGUGGAAGUAGAGCC
Microtus ochrogaster (prairie vole) is the source of this 374-nucleotide RNA transcript. It is a transcript of the gene named zinc finger protein 431, with no coding region annotated. The record is from RefSeq and is a predicted model, not a curated record. The transcript has 3 exons. Lineage: Eukaryota; Metazoa; Chordata; Mammalia; Rodentia; Cricetidae.